GUUAUUGUUAUUAUAGGUCCAGUACAAUGAGUUAACAUGUCUACCUAAUAAUGUGAUCAAACUGGAUAAACUAUCUAAAAUAUUUGCAAGUCUCUCCUAUAUGUUAGGAAGGUUUGAGUCUCUUCAUUAUCUUCUCUUUGAUGUUCUCCUCUUAAUUAAAUGAAUGAGACGUGACAUCCUCCGGAAAGGAAGAGUAUUGGUCCUCUAGUAUCUCUUGUAUUGAAGAACCAGGAGACCACAUGUGACGGACAACCUCUCCCUCGUCCCUCAAGAUCCCCUCGUGACCAUACAAGUAAGGAUGAGGAGUGGGUGGAGUGAGGGGAGGUGUUGUGAGAAAGGAAGUUGUGAUGAUGAAAGCUAUGCUACCUCCUGAGUAAGAAUAUUAAUGUGUCUUUUAAUAAAUACUGUAUAGUUUAAAUUUAUGUGUGUGACCUAAUAUUUUUGUAAACAGCCAAAGCCACUUUCAUUUUUAACGUGUUUACCCUGUAACCAUGUGGAAGAAUAAAAAUUAUAGUA
Amphimedon queenslandica is the source of this 516-nucleotide long non-coding RNA. RefSeq lists it as uncharacterized. The record is from RefSeq and is a predicted model, not a curated record. The transcript has 3 exons. Lineage: Eukaryota; Metazoa; Porifera; Demospongiae; Haplosclerida; Niphatidae.